CAAAUAGAGAAAACGGAUAGUGGACGCAAGAGACAAAUACCCCGAGGAGUGACCACAGUGAAGGAUCAUUUUUACAUUGGCUGCAAAGUAGCAACGUCAUUUAUGAGUUCCAACCACUGGAGGAGGAGGACACUCCCCAAUGGGCUCAGGAGAAGCGAAGCUCGAGUCAUGCAUCCUCCGAAACAUGGCACGCCAAACCACACUACUUAACACCUGCCCGCUUAACCCGGAAGCCAGCUGCACUAAUGUGCCGGAGGAAACACUGUUCAACUGACGACCAGCGUCAGCCUUCAGGUGCCUGGCCCACCACAAGGAGUCACUGGAGCACAAUGAGUCAAGUAAAGCCCCCCCUCGGCCAAACCCUCCCCUAACCCAGACGACGCUGAGCAAAUUGUGCUCCUCCC
This 404-nucleotide long non-coding RNA is filed under the name Salmo salar (Atlantic salmon). RNAcentral describes it as "lncRNA (ENSSSAG00000112559.1)". The record is from RNAcentral. Lineage: Eukaryota; Metazoa; Chordata; Actinopteri; Salmoniformes; Salmonidae.